UCCCUGGUGGUCCAGUGGUUAGGACUCUGCACUCUACUGCAGGAAACACAGGUUUGAUUCCUGGUUGGGCAA
RNAcentral lists this transfer RNA (72 nucleotides) under Bos taurus (domestic cattle). It matches the Rfam family "tRNA". Rfam says of the family: Transfer RNA (tRNA) molecules are approximately 80 nucleotides in length. Their secondary structure includes four short double-helical elements and three loops (D, anti-codon, and T loops). RNAcentral also lists the same sequence under 6 other names. Lineage: Eukaryota; Metazoa; Chordata; Mammalia; Artiodactyla; Bovidae. The record is from Rfam by way of RNAcentral.